RNAcentral lists this ribosomal RNA (247 nucleotides) under uncultured bacterium. RNAcentral describes it as "partial 16S ribosomal RNA". It matches the Rfam family "Bacterial small subunit ribosomal RNA", at positions 523 to 769 of the family's 1533-position model. The record is from RNAcentral.
AUACGUAGGUCCCGAGCGUUGUCCGGAUUUACUGGGUAUAAAGGGUGCGUAGGCGGUUUUGUGCGUCAGAGGUGAAAGGUCAGUGCUUAACAUUGAUACUGCCUUUGAAACGGCGGAACUUGAGUAUGAGAGAGGUUUGUAGAAUUCCUGGUGUAGCGGUGAAAUGCGUAGAUAUCAGGAGGAAUACCGGUGGCGAAGGCGGCAAACUGGCUCAUAACUGACGCUGAGGCACGAAAGCGUGGGGAUC